GACGAACGCUGGCGGCGUGCUUAACACAUGCAAGUCGAACGGAAAGGCCCUGCUUGCAGGGUGCUCGAGUGGCGAACGGGUGAGUAACACGUGGGUGAUCUGCCCCUUACUUUGGGAUAAGCCUGGGAAACUGGGUCUAAUACUGGAUAGGACCAUGCUGUAGGUGGUGUGGUGGAAAGAUUAGUUUCGGUAAGGGAUGAGCUCGCGGCCUAUCAGCUUGUUGGUGGGGUAAUGGCCUACCAAGGCGUCGACGGGUAGCCGGCCUGAGAGGGUGGACGGCUACAUUGGGACUGAGAUACGGCCCAGACUCCUACGGGAGGCAGCAGAGGGGAAUAUUGCACAAUGGGCGCAAGCCUGAUGCAGCGACGCCGCGUGGGGGAUGACGGCCUUCGGGUUGUAAACUCCUUUCAGCCAUGACGAAGCCCUUGUGGUGACGGUAGUGGUAGAAGAAGCACCGGCUAACUACGUG
This 469-nucleotide ribosomal RNA is filed under the name uncultured bacterium. RNAcentral describes it as "partial 16S ribosomal RNA". It matches the Rfam family "Bacterial small subunit ribosomal RNA", at positions 28 to 507 of the family's 1533-position model. The record is from RNAcentral.